CCCUCGAGUGGGGAAUAACGUCCGGAAACGGACGCUAAUACCGCAUAAUGCAGCGGCACCGCAAGGUGACAGUUGUUAAAGAUUUAUCGCUUGAGGAGGAGCUUGCGGCAGAUUAGCUAGUUGGUAAGGUAACGGCUUACCAAGGCUACGAUCUGUAGCCGGCCUGAGAGGGCGGUCGGCCACACUGACACUGAAUAACGGGUCAGACUCCUACGGGAGGCAGCAGUCGGGAAUUUUGGGCAAUGGGCGAAAGCCUGACCCAGCAACGCCGCGUGAAGGAUGAAGUAUUUCGGUAUGUAAACUUCGAAAGAAUAGGAAGAAUUAAUGACGGUACCACAGGAAUAAGGUCCGGCUAACUACGUGCCAGCAGCCGCGGUAAUACGUAGGGAACGAGCGUUGUUCGGAUUUACUGGGCGUAAAGCGCACGCAGGCGGUUUGGGAAGUUGGACGUGAAAACUCCUGGCUUAACUGGGAGAGGUCGUACAAAACUACCAAGCUAGAGGUUGGAAGAGGAGAGUGGAAUUCCCGGUGUAGUGGUGGAAUGCGUAGAUAUCGGGAGGAACACCAGUGGUGAAAACGGCUCUCUGGUCCAAUACUGACGCUGAGGUGCGAAAGCGUGGGGAGCGAACGGGAUUAGAUACCCCGGUAGUCCACGCUGUAAACGAUGGAUACUAGGUGUAGGGGGUCAUUUACCCCUUCUGUGCCGAAGCUAACGCGUUAAGUAUCCCGCCUGGGGACUACGGCCGCAAGGUUAAAACUCAAAGGAAUUGACGGGGGCCCGCACAAGCAGCGGAGCGUGUGGUUUAAUUCGAUGAUACGCGAAGAACCUUACCUGGGUUUGACAUAUAGGUAGUA
RNAcentral lists this ribosomal RNA (855 nucleotides) under uncultured bacterium. Its description in RNAcentral is "bacterial SSU rRNA". It matches the Rfam family "Bacterial small subunit ribosomal RNA", at positions 129 to 997 of the family's 1533-position model. The record is from RNAcentral.